Molecule: ribosomal RNA, 254 nt
Filed under: uncultured bacterium
Lineage: Bacteria
Description: partial 16S ribosomal RNA
Rfam family: Bacterial small subunit ribosomal RNA
Source: RNAcentral
UACGUAGGGUGCGAGCGUUGUCCGGAAUUAUUGGGCGUAAAGAGCUCGUAGGCGGUCUGUCGCGUCGGUCGUGAAAACUUGGGGCUUAACCCUGAGCUUGCGGUCGAUACGGGCAUGACUGGAGUUCGGUAGGGGAGACUGGAAUUCCUGGUGUAGCGGUGGAAUGCGCAGAUAUCAGGAGGAACACCGAUGGCGAAGGCAGAUCUCUGGGCCGUAACUGACGCUGAGGAGCGAAAGCAUGGGGAGCGAACAGG